AAAAAAAGCCCAGUAGCGAGUUGACAUGGUGCCCGUACCCCAAACCAACACAGGUGGACAGGUAGAGCAUACCAAGGCGAGUGGGAUAACUAUGGUUAAGGAACUCGGCAAAUUUCCUCCGUAACUUCGGGAUAAGGAGGACCCCAGUAGCGUGACGAGACUUGCUCUCCGAGCGUGAAGGGGUGGCACAAAAUUGAGGGAAGCGACUGUUUACCAAAAACACAGCAGCGUGCUAAGCCGUAAGGCGCUGUAUACGCUGUGACUCCUGCCCGGUGCUGGAAGGUUACGGGGAUGGGUUAGUCCUUUGGGACGAAGCUCUGAACCUAAGCCCCAGUAAACGGCGGCCGUAACUAUAACGGUCCUAAGGUAGCGAAAUUCCUUGUCGGGUAAGUUCCGACCUGCACGAAUGGAGUAACGACUUCCCUACUGUCUCAACCAUAGACCCAGCGAAAUUGAAGUACGAGUAAAGAUGCUCGUUAGCUGCAGAAGGACGGAAAGACCCCGUGGACCUUUACUAUAACUUGAUGUUGUGUUUUGUCAUAUGUUGUGUAGGAUAGGUGGGAGACAAGGAAGCAUGGACGCUAGUCUGUGUGGAGUCAUCGUUGAAAUACCACCCUGCAUAUGGUGAGGCUCUAACCUAGACCCGUUAUCCGGGUUGGGGACAGCGUCAGGCGGGUAGUUUAACUGGGGCGGUUGCCUCCUAAAGAGUAACGGAGGCGCCCAAAGGUUCCCUCAGCCUGGUUGGCAAUCAGGCGUCGAGUGCAAUGGCAAAAGGGAGCUUGACUGCGAGACCUACAAGUCGAGCAGGAGCGAAAGCUGGGCAUAGUGAUCCGGCGGUUGCGUGUGGAAGCGCCGUCGCUCAACGGAUAAAAGGUACCCCGGGGAUAACAGGCUAAUCUCGCCCAAGCGUCCAUAGCGACGGCAAGGUUUGGCACCUCGAUGUCGGCUCAUCGCAUCCUGGGGCUGAAGCAGGUCCCAAGGGUUGGGCUGUUCGCCCAUUAAAGCGGUACGCGAGCUGGGUUCAGAACGUCGUGAGACAGUUCGGUCCCUAUCCUCUGUAGCCGUAGGUGAAUUGAGGAAAGCUGUCCCUAGUACGAGAGGACCGGGACGGACGCAGCUCUCGUGUGCCAGUUGUCCUGCCAAGGGCAUGGCUGGUUAGCGACCUGCGGAAAGGAUAACCGCUGAAAGCAUCUAAGCGGGAAGCCUCUUCCAAGAUGAAUUCACCCACAGGGUUAACCUGGUAAGGCCCGUGGUAGACCACCACGUUGAUAGGCCGGAAGUGUAAGCGUGGCAACACGUUCAGCUGACCGGUACUAAUCGGCCGAGGGCUUGAACU
This 1336-nucleotide ribosomal RNA is filed under the name metagenome. RNAcentral's name for it is "bacterial LSU rRNA". It matches the Rfam family "Bacterial large subunit ribosomal RNA", at positions 1610 to 2925 of the family's 2925-position model. The record is from RNAcentral.